Molecule: small RNA, 516 nt
Filed under: Pongo abelii (Sumatran orangutan)
Lineage: Eukaryota; Metazoa; Chordata; Mammalia; Primates; Hominidae
Description: retained intron
Source: RNAcentral
AAGCUAAAGAAGUAAAAUUCCUUUGCCCUCUUUGUAUGCGGUCUCGAAGGCCCAGGCUAGAGACUAUUCUGUCACUCCUGGUAUCCCUUCAGAAGUUGCCUGUACGGUUGCCUGAAGGAGAGGCCCUACAGUGUUUGACAGAACGUGCUAUGAGUUGGCAAGAUAGAGCACGGCAGGCUCUAGCCACAGAUGAACUAUCCUCUGCCCUGGCCAAACUAUCUGUGUUGAGCCAGCGUAUGGUGGAACAGGCAGCUCGAGAAAAAACUGAAAAGAUCAUCAGUGCAGAACUACAAAAAGCAGCUGCCAAUCCAGACUUACAGGGACACUUACCUAGUUUCCAGCAGUCUGCUUUUAACCGGGUGGUGAGCAGUGUGUCAUCUUCUCCUCGACAAACAAUGGACUAUGAUGACGAAGAAACAGACUCUGAUGAAGACAUUCGAGAGACAUAUGGCUACGACAUGAAGGUAGUUACAUGGACAAGCUGUGUGGGUACAUACCUGAUCAUUGGGUUUGUUU